CCUGCUGUCAUUAAUUUCACUUUUUUUGUGAAUAGAGUUGAGACUAUUUUUUGUGGAAUCUAUCCAAGGCCCUGGUCAAAGAAAAAAAAACACAAAAUACACCCACACACACACAGACGGAGGGAUGCAAGGGGACGGAGAUAGGUGGGUGUUUUGCUAAUCACGCUAAUCACAGGCUGCAAGUGGCCGUCGACUCAGUGGUAGGCGUUCCCUUUUUUCUUAACCCACUAACCCUGGAGAAAAUCGCAUGAAUAUUCUCUGAAUAAAAUAAGCUUCUUGUUUUUAACCUGGAGCAAGUUCAAGGCAUAAAACCGAUGUCACAUUUCUUGUGAGAGUAUAUCAUUUUCAUCCAUAGGAG
This 358-nucleotide long non-coding RNA is filed under the name Brachypodium distachyon (stiff brome). RNAcentral describes it as "long non-coding RNA (BDIS_LNC003087)". The record is from RNAcentral. Lineage: Eukaryota; Viridiplantae; Streptophyta; Magnoliopsida; Poales; Poaceae.